AACUAAGCUGAACAUGCACACAACCAGGGCAGGUAGCUCAGUGGUAGAGCACCUGGCACCGGUGUAGGAGGUCCUGGGCUCAAUCCCCGGCCUGUCCAGAUCCAUUUUCCAACAUGGUAUCGGAGCUAUGGUUGGAUGGCCUGUGGUAGGCAUGGACUGGGCAGGUAGGGAUGUGUGGUGUGUUCAGCUUAGGGGGGAGUGUUAGAACUAAGCUGAACAUGCACACAACCAGGGCAGGUAGCUCAGUGGUAGAGCACCUGGCACCGGUGUAGGAGGUCCUGGGUUCAAUCCCCGGCCUGUCCAGAUCCAUUUUCCAACAUGGUAUCGGAGCUAUGGUUGGAUGGCCACCUGGCACUGGUGUAGGAGGUCCUGGGUUCAAUCCCCGGCCUGUCCAGAUCCAUUUUCCAACAUGGUAUCGGAGCUAUGGUUGGAUGGCCUGUGGUAGGCAUGGACUGGCAGGUAGGGAUGUGUGGCGUGUUCAGCUUAGGGGGGAGUGUUGGAACUAAGUUGAACAUGCAGGUAGGGAUGUGGUAGGCAUGGACUGGCAGGUAGGGAUGUGUGGCGUGUUCAGCUUAGGGGGGAGUGUUGGAACUGUGGUAGGCAUGGACUGGCAGGUAGGGAUGUGUGGCGUGUUCAGCUUAGGGGGGAGUGUUGGAACUAAGUUGAACAUGCAGGUAGGGAUGUGUGGCGUGUUCAGCUUAGGGGGGAGUGUUGGAACUAAGUUGAACAUGGUAUCGGAGCUAUGGUUGGAUGGCCUGUGGUAGGCAUGGACUGGCAGGUAGGGAUGUGUGGCGUGUUCAGCUUAGGGGGGAGUGUUGGAACUAAGUUGAACAUGCACACAACCAGGGCAGGUAGCUCAGUGGUAGAACACCUGGCACCGGUGUAGGAGGUCCUGGGUUCAAUCCCCAGC
This 910-nucleotide long non-coding RNA is filed under the name Selaginella moellendorffii. Its description in RNAcentral is "long non-coding RNA (SMOE_LNC001231)". The stretch from base 232 to 303 matches the Rfam family "tRNA". Lineage: Eukaryota; Viridiplantae; Streptophyta; Lycopodiopsida; Selaginellales; Selaginellaceae. The record is from RNAcentral.